GUAUUACCGAUUUUUCAAUUAAAAUAAAUUUGCAUUAGGGAAGACACGUGUUGUGUGUAUAAUUCUUCAAAAGUAAAUUCAUUUGAAUCGUUAAAAGUUUAUUUAUAAAUUAAAAAAGUAAUAUUUUUCGAGGAGCUGAAUUAAAAUAAAUAUUUCAUUGGCUAAUUCAUCGUGUUAUACAUAUGUAUAUUCUACAGUCGAAUCUUAAUAACUCGAAUCUCAAGGGAAGAACUACAACCCUCGAGUUAUAGAGGUUUCGAUUUAUCGAGUUUUAAAAAUUCGAUAUACAGAAGCUAUGUAAGGAGGUUAAGAAUUUUCCAGAAUCAUCCGCUUAAAUAAAAAUAAUUAAAUAAUUUUAAGAGGCAAUGGCCAUAGAGGUACAGAAGCAAACUUCGAUUUAUAGAGGUCAGACUAUUCCAAUCUGACAAUGAGUCACAGAGGUUUUUGCAAUGAAGUGGAAAAGAAGUGAGAAAAGUUUUAGUUUUUCGAGUAAUAGAGGUCCGAGUUAUGGAGAUUUGACUUUGCAUGUAUGUCAACCAUGGCGCUUAAGUGCGCGGUACAAAAAUGGCGUCAAAUUCAAACUCCAUAUUUUGGUGCUUUGAUGUUGGGAUUUGUAAUGAAACAUUUUUACAGGAAUAUUCAUACAAUUUUUAACGGAUGUUAUAAUUAAAGUAGAAGUACAUGACUUAGGACGUUUAAAGUGCAUGAUAUUUAGUCAAACUUCUACCAAAGUGCAAUGCUACAUUAUAAAAUUUACAACUUCUUUAUUUUACGAGUACAAUGGGUACUUUUUACAUGAAAAGUAAAAUAAAACGUUUAAUAAUAAGACAGUAAGACAGAAUGUAGAAUAAUAAGGCAACAGUAUUGUGGAGAAGUAAAAUAGUGAAUUUAUAGUAUGGUUAUGUAGUAGAAUUAGUGAAAUAGUACGUGUUAUAAAAGUUUGGUAUUCAAAUGGAUGCGCAGUCUGUUGCCCAUGCGCAAGCGCGUGCAUGUACUGUGCUGCCUUCAAGCGUUAAAUCUUCAAAAGACUGUUACGAAAAUUUGAAUUAUCACUUAUUUAUUUCUAAAAAUCUAAGAA
Long non-coding RNA from Megachile rotundata (alfalfa leafcutting bee), 1078 nucleotides. The record is from RefSeq and is a predicted model, not a curated record. Lineage: Eukaryota; Metazoa; Arthropoda; Insecta; Hymenoptera; Megachilidae.